This is a non-coding RNA of Lonchura striata (white-rumped munia), 188 nucleotides long. NCBI's taxonomy places the organism in Eukaryota, Metazoa, Chordata, Aves, Passeriformes, Estrildidae. The record is from RefSeq and is a predicted model, not a curated record.
UCCAGGGAAUUCUCCGGAGGCGCCUCAGCCCCAGCGGCCUCCAGGAGAUCUUUGCCCAUUUAGGCCCCUGGAUCCGCUCCCCGCGGGAGCCGGAGCGGGAGCGCGGCCUCGGCAUCAGCAAAUCCCUGCUGGAAUUCUUCCUGGAAAACCUCGACGUGCGCGCGGUGACUCCGUUCCCGGCUCUCCCG